RNAcentral lists this unclassified non-coding RNA (326 nucleotides) under Hevea brasiliensis (rubber tree). The record is from RNAcentral. Lineage: Eukaryota; Viridiplantae; Streptophyta; Magnoliopsida; Malpighiales; Euphorbiaceae.
UUCUGCUAGAACCUUUGUAAUUGCAGCAGUAAGAGUAGUCUUUCCAUGAUCAACGUGUCCUAUAGUUCCCACAUUUACAUGAGGUUUUGUUCGAGUGAAGGUGGCCAUAGAUCUCCACCAUGGAUUAGAAAGACUGGAAGUAUCAUUUCCAUUUUUCGUUUCGGAGAGCAAAAACUGAGUGGAAACUGAUCCUCCUCUACAACACGAGUAGAUUUGAGGAGAGAGUGACAACACGCGCUUCGAAUUGGGAUUUCUGAAAACGACGGACGCCAUUGAAGAAGCUACGAAGCUGGAAAUGGCGUUGAGGGGUAUUUGAAGGGUUUAGG